Molecule: long non-coding RNA, 650 nt
Filed under: Toxoplasma gondii VEG
Lineage: Eukaryota; Apicomplexa; Conoidasida; Eucoccidiorida; Sarcocystidae
Source: RNAcentral
CAAAAACAGCGAUUUAUACAUUCCUUCCACGCUGCAUGAAAAAAUUUGAGAGGCCCUCUGCGCCUUCUUGUGCUGUCUGGCCGAUUCUUAAGGACAACAAAGCUCGUUCUUGAGGCGAGUGGUGGCUGACAGCCAGGAGAAUUCUAGACGGCCUGUUACGGACCUUUGUUUCUCAUUCACAUCGGCACGCUUAUCUGGAUCAACAUGUGCACUAGCGUGUUGCUAGGACUUUUAAGCAGUUUCCGGGGGCGCUUCUUGUGUUGAAGAUCGAAGAGUUGUGUAUAGUGCGGUUGCGAUCUUGCUCGCGUUUCUACGAACAUGCUGUAGCUAUGGCCGAGACACCACUGAGAAUUGCUUCAACAUACCUGGGCAACAUGUCUACAUUGAACAAUUCCACUGCCGAAUAUGGGCCGCAGCGGUAAAGAACCACCAGUGCCUCGUUGUGUCGCCAGUACGAUGGGGAAACAAGCUUUCGUUGAUCGGUAAGAGUCCUAGCUGUCGACCUAAACACUCGCGUUUUUUGAUUCCUGUGAUAUAGUGCGUGAACGUGUUUAACCAGUCUACUGAGAUACAACGUCAUCUCUGAACUUCGCACUGCAACCCAUGGUGUCUGUGUGUGAAGCAACUCGGAUAAACAAUCGACAGGGGAA